This 663-nucleotide ribosomal RNA is filed under the name uncultured Dothideomycetes. Its description in RNAcentral is "eukaryotic LSU rRNA". The stretch from base 177 to 330 matches the Rfam family "5.8S ribosomal RNA". Lineage: Eukaryota; Fungi; Ascomycota; Dothideomycetes. The record is from RNAcentral.
AGGUUUCCGUAGGUGAACCUGCGGAAGGAUCAUUACCUAGAGUUGUAGGCUUUGCCUGCUAUCUCUUACCCAUGUCUUUUGAGUACCUUACGUUUCCUCGGUGGGUUCGCCCACCGAUUGGACAAACUUAAACCCUUUGCAGUUGAAAUCAGCGUCUGAAAAAACUUAAUAGUUACAACUUUCAACAACGGAUCUCUUGGUUCUGGCAUCGAUGAAGAACGCAGCGAAAUGCGAUAAGUAGUGUGAAUUGCAGAAUUCAGUGAAUCAUCGAAUCUUUGAACGCACAUUGCGCCCCUUGGUAUUCCAUGGGGCAUGCCUGUUCGAGCGUCAUUUGUACCUUCAAGCUCUGCUUGGUGUUGGGUGUUUGUCUCCUGUAGACUCGCCUUAAAACAAUUGGCAGCCGGCGUAUUGAUUUCGGAGCGCAGUACAUCUCGCGCUUUGCACUCAUAACGACGACAUCCAAAAGUACAUUUUUACACUCUUGACCUCGGAUCAGGUAGGGAUACCCGCUGAACUUAAGCAUAUCAAUAAGCGGAGGAAAAGAAACCAACAGGGAUUGCCCUAGUAACGGCGAGUGAAGCGGCAACAGCUCAAAUUUGAAAUCUGGCGUCUUUGGCGUCCGAGUUGUAAUUUGCAGAGGGCGCUUUGGCAUUGGCAGCGGUC